GACCAUGGCUCAGAUUGAACGCUGGCGGCAUGCCUUACACAUGCAAGUCGAACGGUAACGGGCCUUCGGGUGCCGACGAGUGGCGAACGGGUGAGUAAUGCAUCGGAACGUACCUUUCAGUGGGGAUAACGUAGCGAAAGUUACGCUAAUACCGCAUAUUCUGUGAGCAGGAAAGCAGGGGAUCGCAAGACCUUGCACUGAUUGAGCGGCCGAUGUCAGAUUAGCUAGUUGGUGAGGUAAAGGCUCACCAAGGCGACGAUCUGUAGCGGGUCUGAGAGGAUGAUCCGCCACACUGGAACUGAGACACGGUCCAGACUCCUACGGGAGGCAGCAGUGGGGAAUUUUGGACAAUGGGGGCAACCCUGAUCCAGCCAUGCCGCGUGAGUGAAGAAGGCCUUCGGGUUGUAAAGCUCUUUCGGCCGGGAAGAAAUCGUAUGGGCUAAUACCCUGUGCGGAUGACGGUACCGGCAUAAGAAGCACCGGCUAACUACGUG
RNAcentral lists this ribosomal RNA (494 nucleotides) under uncultured bacterium. Its description in RNAcentral is "bacterial SSU rRNA". It matches the Rfam family "Bacterial small subunit ribosomal RNA", at positions 15 to 507 of the family's 1533-position model. The record is from RNAcentral.